CCUACGGGAGGCUGCAGUGAGGAAUAUUGGUCAAUGGGCGAGAGCCUGAACCAGCCAAGUAGCAUGAAGGAUGACUGCCCUACGGGUUGUAAACUUCUUUUAUAUGGGAAUAAAAUGAGCCACGUGUGCGUUUUUGUAUGUACUAUAUGAAUAAGGAUCGGCUAACUCCGUGCCAGCAGCCGCGGUAAUACGGAGGAUCCGAGCGUUAUCCGGAUUUAUUGGGUUUAAAGGGAGCGUAGGUGGGUUGUUAAGUCAGUUGUGAAAGUUUGCGGCUCAACCGUAAAAUUGCAGUUGAAACUGGCAGUCUUGAGUACAGUAGAGGUGGGCGGAAUUCGUGGUGUAGCGGUGAAAUGCUUAGAUAUCACGAAGAACUCCGAUUGCGAAGGCAGUUCACUAGACUGCCACUGACACUGAGGCUCGAAAGUGUGGGUAUCAAACAGGAUUAGAUACCCGAGUAGUC
This 460-nucleotide ribosomal RNA is filed under the name uncultured bacterium. Its description in RNAcentral is "partial 16S ribosomal RNA". It matches the Rfam family "Bacterial small subunit ribosomal RNA", at positions 338 to 795 of the family's 1533-position model. The record is from RNAcentral.